GAUGAACGCUGGCGGCGUGCCUAAUACAUGCAAGUCGAACGAAACUUCUUUAUCACCGAGUGCUUGCACUCACCGAUAAAGAGUUGAGUGGCGAACGGGUGAGUAACACGUGGGCAACCUGCCCAAAAGAGGGGGAUAACACUUGGAAACAGGUGCUAAUACCGCAUAACCAUAGUUACCGCAUGGUAACUAUGUAAAAGGUGGCUAUACUACCGCUUUUGGAUGGGCCCGCGGCGCAUUAGCUAGUUGGUAGGGUAAAGGCUUACCAAGGCAAUGAUGCGUAGCCGAAUUGAGAGGUUGAUCGGCCACAUUGGGACUGGGACACGGCCCAAACUCCUACGGGAGGCAGCAGUAGGGAAUCUUCCACAAUGGGCGAAAGCCUGAUGGAGCAACGCCGCGUGGGUGAAGAAGGUCUUCGGAUCGUAAAACCCUGUUGUUAGAGAAGAAAGUGCGUGAGAGUAACUGUUCACGUUUCGACGGUAUCUAACCAGAAAGCCACUGCUAACUACGUG
Molecule: ribosomal RNA, 512 nt
Filed under: uncultured bacterium
Lineage: Bacteria
Description: partial 16S ribosomal RNA
Rfam family: Bacterial small subunit ribosomal RNA
Source: RNAcentral